This 116-nucleotide non-coding RNA is filed under the name Cupriavidus necator. RNAcentral's name for it is "Ralstonia eutropha SAH sequence". It matches the Rfam family "SAH (S-adenosyl-L-homocysteine) riboswitch aptamer". Lineage: Bacteria; Pseudomonadati; Pseudomonadota; Betaproteobacteria; Burkholderiales; Burkholderiaceae. RNAcentral also lists the same sequence under 2 other names. The record is from RNAcentral.
CACUCCGAGGAGCGUUGCAACGGAUGGAGGCCUGCGAAGCACAUCGCGCGGCCGGCGGCACAGCCGCCCCAUGCCAUCCGCCAGGCUCGGACUGUCUUCAACGGCGCUCGCUGAUC